This 442-nucleotide ribosomal RNA is filed under the name uncultured bacterium. RNAcentral's name for it is "partial 16S ribosomal RNA". It matches the Rfam family "Bacterial small subunit ribosomal RNA", at positions 338 to 795 of the family's 1533-position model. The record is from RNAcentral.
CCUACGGGUGGCAGCAGUGGGGAAUAUUGGGCAAUGGGCGAAAGCCUGACCCAGCAACGCCGCGUGAAGGAAGAAGGCUUUCGGGUUGUAAACUUCUUUUGACAGGGAAGAGCAGAAGACGGUACCUGUCGUAUAAGCCAGGGCUAACUACGUGCCAGCAGCCGCGGUAAUACGUAGGUGGCAAGCGUUGUCCGGAUUUACUGGGUGUAAAGGGCGGGUAGCCGGGCUGGCAAGUCAGAUGUGAAAUCCUGGGGCUCAACCCCCGAACUGCAUUUGAAACUGUUGGUCUUGAGUAUCGGAGAGGCAGGCGGAAUUCCUGGUGUAGCGGUGAAAUGCGUAGAUAUUAGGAAGAACACCAGUGGCGAAGGCGGCCUACUGGACGACAACUGACGGUGAGGCACGAAAGCGUGGGGAGCAAACAGGAUUAGAUACCCGUGUAGUC